CCUACGGGCGGCAGCAGUGGGGAAUAUUGGGCAAUGGGCGCAAGCCUGACCCAGCAACGCCGCGUGAAGGAAGAAGGCUUUCGGGUUGUAAACUUCUUUUAUCAGGGACGAAGCAAGUGACGGUACCUGAUGAGUAAGCCACGGCUAACUACGUGCCAGCAGCCGCGGUAAUACGUAGGUGGCAAGCGUUAUCCGGAUUUACUGGGUGUAAAGGGCGUGUAGGCGGGAGUGCAAGUCAGAUGUGAAAACUAUGGGCUCAACCCAUAGCCUGCAUUUGAAACUGUACUUCUUGAGUGCUGGGGAGGCAAUCGGAAUUCCGGGUGUAGCGGUGAAAUGCGUAGAUAUACGGAGGAACACCAGUGGCGAAGGCGGAUUGCUGGACAGUAACUGACGCUGAGGCGCGAAAGCGUGGGGAGCAAACAGGAUUAGAUACCCUGGUAGUC
Molecule: ribosomal RNA, 443 nt
Filed under: uncultured bacterium
Lineage: Bacteria
Description: partial 16S ribosomal RNA
Rfam family: Bacterial small subunit ribosomal RNA
Source: RNAcentral